Molecule: non-coding RNA, 952 nt
Organism: Peromyscus maniculatus bairdii (prairie deer mouse)
Lineage: Eukaryota; Metazoa; Chordata; Mammalia; Rodentia; Cricetidae
Source: RefSeq, a predicted model, not a curated record
ACCGGGAAAAGAACACGACAGAAGAGACCCCCAGAGGAAAGCAGAGUCCUCAGAGGCAAAUGCAGUGUAGCCGCAAAUAAGGACCUGGCUAAUUAUCUGUCAAACCACUGUCACACCAAGAGCAAAGGAAUCCUCCAGAAAUCCGGCUCUGGCGUGCGAACUCCAGAGGAGCGACAGGCAGAAGGCAGCCAAUGAAAGACGAUAAUCUAAGGACCAUCGGGUGUGGUGGUACACAACAGCAAUCCCAGCACGCUAGAGAUGGAGGCAGGAGGAUGGGGAGAGGAAGGCUAGAAUCUGUUCGGAGCCAUGGCCUCUCCCAGCCUUAGCAACAGUGACUGCAACAGACAUGCAUAGAUGGAAUUCUUCUAAAAGCAGCUGCGAUUAAAAAUGCUAACAGCUAAACCUUCUGUCAAAGAGGAGGAUGAAGGGUCUGAGCGAUGCCAAGGGCAGGGUCCAAUGAUCUAAUCACCACCCAAUGAUAGCCACCACUGGCAACAGCAAGAAUUCCCCUAGCUUCCAAAGAGAGGCUCAUUAAAAGGAUGUUCUGAACAGAGGUGAAACAUUCCAUCCUGCAGGGAAGCUAUUAAGCUCAAGAUGUGAACAACUCAAGGGCCUCAGGAAGUCCCCCAAACUGACCAGAUGCAUUAGGUUCCUCUUUCCCCAAGCAUAUACACUGUCAAGGCUGCCAAGGAGCACUCUCAGCAAAGUUCCUAGGAGAGACUCAGACAAGAUGAACCAGCCAAGCCACCUGGAGAAAGCAGACACCAGUCCAGCUGCCUAAGAGAAGCAGAGACCAGCAGAGCUACUGGAAAAGUCCAGAUCACUCCCACUGCCUGAAAAGGACAGGUCUCCAACCUGUUGAGCUGCCUGCCUGCGGCUGGCAGUGGGCUCCAGGUUCCCAGCUUUAUGAGCUGCCACCCAUGCUGGGGUGGGCCUUGGCGAUGCAACCGUC